GGAAAUAAGAGCAAAAUGCCCCCGUAAUUGAUAAGUAUAGCAUAAAUAUCCCAUGUUGAUCCUUGAAAUUGGUUAUUGUGUGGCGUUGGUUGGAAUUAGCUUGUUGUGGAUGUCUUAAAUUUAUAUUGUAUGAUGCCUUAGAAGAGAUUUGUUAUGUAUUAAAUUUGAUUGUAUGUCAAUUUAUAUGGUUGGAACACACACACACUAUAAUAGUGAUAAUAGUUUGAGAUGCAAUGGUUGGCAAGGAAUUAUGAAUUGGUUUUGUUUUGAGGUGUUAACAUGUUUACUUGAUUUCUCUGAG
This 301-nucleotide long non-coding RNA is filed under the name Panax ginseng (ginseng). RNAcentral describes it as "long non-coding RNA (PGIN_LNC004869)". The record is from RNAcentral. Lineage: Eukaryota; Viridiplantae; Streptophyta; Magnoliopsida; Apiales; Araliaceae.